RNAcentral lists this ribosomal RNA (465 nucleotides) under uncultured bacterium. RNAcentral's name for it is "bacterial SSU rRNA". It matches the Rfam family "Bacterial small subunit ribosomal RNA", at positions 329 to 792 of the family's 1533-position model. The record is from RNAcentral.
UUCCAGACUCCUACGGGAGGCAGCAGUGAGGAAUAUUGGUCAAUGGGCUUACGCCUGAACCAGCCAAGCCGCGUGAGGGAAGACGGCCCUAUGGGUUGUAAACCUCUUUUGUCGGAGAACAAAACCCGGGACGAGUCCCGGACUGCGUGUAUCCGAAGAAAAAGCAUCGGCUAACUCCGUGCCAGCAGCCGCGGUAAUACGGAGGAUGCGAGCGUUAUCCGGAUUUAUUGGGUUUAAAGGGUGCGUAGGCGGUCUUUUAAGUCAGCGGUAAAAUUGCGGGGCUCAACCCCGUCGAGCCGUUGAAACUGGCAGACUUGAGUUGGCGAGAAGUACGCGGAAUGCGCGGUGUAGCGGUGAAAUGCAUAGAUAUCGCGCAGAACUCCGAUUGCGAAGGCAGCGUACCGGCGCCACACUGACGCUGAGGCACGAAAGCGUGGGGAUCGAACAGGAUUAGAUACCCCCGUA